CGCCUGUUUAACAAAAACAUUUCUUUUAGGGUUAUUUUAAAGGUACUUCCUGCCCUAUGGUUUAUGUUAUAAUUGCAUGCAGUAUUUCACUGUGCAAACCCAGCAUAAUAAUUAGUUUUUUAAUUGAAGGCUGGUAUGAAUGGAAAAUUGAGAUAUAUAUUUUAUUUAAUAUAUUGUUAAAAUUUAAAUUUUAAGUUAAAAUGCUUAAUUUAAAUGUUGGGACGAUAAGACCCGUAUAGGCUUUAUCAUUAAAUGCUUUGAUUAAUUUUUAUUUAAAAUCUUACUUAAUGUGGAUAAUGUUUUGCUGGGGUGGUAGAUAAAUUAAAACUUUAUUAAUCAAAAUCAUUAUUAGUGUUUUUAUUGAUCUAUUUAAUAAAUAAAAAAGAAUAAGUUACCUUAGGGAUAACAGCGUAAUUAUAAUGGAAAGUUCAUAUUUAUAUUAUUUUUUGCGACCUCGAUGUUGAAUUAAGGUAAAUUUUAAGAAGAGUAUUCUUGAGUUUAAGUCUGUUCGACUUUUAAAUCCUUACUUGAUCUGAGUUCAGACCGG
Molecule: ribosomal RNA, 547 nt
Filed under: Haldorus furcatus
Lineage: Eukaryota; Metazoa; Arthropoda; Insecta; Hemiptera; Cicadellidae
Description: partial 16S ribosomal RNA
Source: RNAcentral